GGGCUUAAGUUUAGCUUAGUGGUAGAGUGCUUAUUUAUAAUGAGAGAAGCAUUGGGUUUGAUUCCCAGAGUGUCCA
RNAcentral lists this transfer RNA (76 nucleotides) under Marmota monax (woodchuck). RNAcentral's name for it is "tRNA.Tyr". The record is from RNAcentral. Lineage: Eukaryota; Metazoa; Chordata; Mammalia; Rodentia; Sciuridae.